This 497-nucleotide ribosomal RNA is filed under the name uncultured bacterium. RNAcentral describes it as "partial 16S ribosomal RNA". It matches the Rfam family "Bacterial small subunit ribosomal RNA", at positions 28 to 507 of the family's 1533-position model. The record is from RNAcentral.
GAUGAACGCUGGCGGCGUGCCUAAUACAUGCAAGUCGAGCGAACAGACGAGGAGCUUGCUCCUCUGACGUUAGCGGCGGACGGGUGAGUAACACGUGGAUAACCUACCUAUAAGACUGGGAUAACUUCGGGAAACCGGAGCUAAUACCGGAUAAUAUAUUGAACCGCAUGGUUCAAUAGUGAAAGACGGUUUUGCUGUCACUUAUAGAUGGAUCCGCGCCGCAUUAGCUAGUUGGUAAGGUAACGGCUUACCAAGGCAACGAUGCGUAGCCGACCUGAGAGGGUGAUCGGCCACACUGGAACUGAGACACGGUCCAGACUCCUACGGGAGGCAGCAGUAGGGAAUCUUCCGCAAUGGGCGAAAGCCUGACGGAGCAACGCCGCGUGAGUGAUGAAGGUCUUCGGAUCGUAAAACUCUGUUAUUAGGGAAGAACAAAUGUGUAAGUAACUAUGCACGUCUUGACGGUACCUAAUCAGAAAGCCACGGCUAACUACAUG